Non-coding RNA from Arachis ipaensis, 2023 nucleotides. Lineage: Eukaryota; Viridiplantae; Streptophyta; Magnoliopsida; Fabales; Fabaceae. The record is from RefSeq and is a predicted model, not a curated record.
AUAUGUGAUAACAAGAUGACAAAUUUGAAAACUGAUGAGUUGUAUAUGUAUUUUGAUCAUCUUGUGAGCCAGCCAGUUAUGAAUGAAGCAGGAGAUAUUCCUGUAGAGUUGAGUGAUUCCUCCACUGAUGAUGGCUAUGAGAGCGCUGAAGAUGAGGCUUAUAAGCCUCCCCCACCUAGUUAUGAGACACUCAGUAGCAAUAGUAGUGAGGAGUUAAGCUCAAGAAAUAGGUCCAGGAAUAAGUGUAAGAAGGACACACCUAAAAAAAAGACAAUGACAUUUAAGAAGAAGAGAGCAACACCUAAGAAGAAGAUGUGACAUAUGUGAAGAAAAAAGUUAAUGAAGAUAAUGGCUUAUAUCCUAAAACCAAGAAGAAGACUGUGACACCUGUGAAGAAAAAAGUUAAUGAUGAUGAUGGCUUAUCUCCUAAAACCAAGAAGAAGAAAAAUAAGAGAUAUGUGAAGAUAAGAAGACAUAUUUUGGAUAGGGAUGAGGCUGUGAACUUGCAGUUGUUGCAAUAUCUAAGCUACGAAAGCUUAACUUGAAGUCUGAAGAUUUUGUGCAUGAGUGACUUACCAUGGAUGCCAUAUGUGCCACUUAUGGUAUAACAAUUCAAUUUGUAAAUAGUGAGAAAUUUUGGGAGAUAUUAGAUGCUCUUAGGCCUGUGGCACCUGCCAUCAAGAAACCCCCCACUACAAGAGAGACGGGACUUAGCAAUCGAAAAUUACCAGCAUUUUUCCAAAAUGCCACAAAUCCACUGGGUUGCUGCGGUUCUUGUUGCAUAAUCAAACUCUGCUCCAAUUGAUCGGAUUUGCUGGCUGUUUACGUCCCCAACCGCAACCAAUAACCUUGGGGGAGGGGGCUUUGUUUCAUUAAAAUACCCCCCAACCAAAAUAUUUCGGCGCCAUUAACCUUCAUCCUUUUCGCGUGAACCCCAGCAGAGCAAAGGCACCAAUCACUGGUCUCCUUCCCCCGCCAUCGUGACUCUUCCCUCCGUCAGUUCCAGCUACCACGUCUGAUGUCGUCGUUCUUCCCCGUCACUGAUCUCCUCCCUCCGCGUGUAGCUCCCACGCGCGAAGGUAAAGUGAAAGGGGUCAUCCAAGUCUUCUCCUUCCUCUGUGCACGUCUGUAAUGUCGUCGGCGGUCGCCCCAACCAUCCUUCCCGGUGUCAUCGUCGGCAGCCUUCCCCCUUGCCCUUGCCCUUGCCCUGUUGUGCGUUGCUGAUCGCCCUCUCUCCCCUCUCUCUGGGGGCUAUGAAUGCUUUCUCUUGUUCUCGGAUAUGAAAUUACUGAAGCAUCUGAUGCUGAUAUUGCUUCUAGCUACCCUAAUUUAGAAUUGCUUGAUCUCAGUGGAUCUCGCAUAAGUGACAGUGACAUAGGAAUAAUUUACAAUGUGUUUCCUGAAACACUAUCAAGACUCCUUCUUGAUUGUUGAAAUGUCUCGUGUUACUGACAAAGACACCAGUAGCAUCCAUGCCCUUGAAGAGUUACACAAAAGUCUUGAGAAGAGAGAUGUUGAGGUCUAGUCGAGGACCAACAAUUAAUAGAGACCUUGGUGUCAGUAUAAGUGCUCCUGGUGCUGCAUCAACUAAAAGCUUUACUAAAUUUGAUCAAAGCAACAACUAAAAGCUUUGAUCCAGCUAAUAGAAUUUUUUUAAUAUAGUAAUUUUGUAUUAUUCAAUAUCUUUUGAAUAAAUAAUUUACAAAAUAAUGUUUUUUUUUAGUUACGUUUUGGAAUUAUCCACAAAUUUAAUAUUAUUUAUUUAGUGUUUUUUAUGUUAAUAUCUCAAAUUUAAUAAAUAUAAUGUAAAGAAAAUAGGUUAUAGUAAUGAAAAUGCUAUAACUAUUGUAGUUGGUCCUUUUUUUUAUCUCGUGUAUGAAAUUGCGGCGGUUCGAAAUCGUUGCAAUUUUUUUAAAAAACCAACAUAAAUUUGUGGCGGUUUUAAAACCGCCGCAGUUUUUUUAAUCCAUUGAAAAAAUAGUGGCGGUUCUGCAACCGCCGCAAAAUUGUCAACCUGAUUUGC